GCCAUCGGGGAUAGCCCUUUACACCAAUUCCCCAGGGAUCACUGAAGUUAAGCAACGUCGCGCGUGGUUAGUAUCCGGAAGGGUAACAUUUAGGUAAUCGCGUGCUGCUGGUU
RNAcentral lists this ribosomal RNA (113 nucleotides) under Diaphorina citri (Asian citrus psyllid). The record is from RNAcentral. Lineage: Eukaryota; Metazoa; Arthropoda; Insecta; Hemiptera; Psyllidae.